GAGAAAGGUGGGUCAUGAGUGGGCUUCUAACCCAUCUUAUAAGCAGUUCAAUUCUGUUUCUUUCUCU
Molecule: transfer RNA, 67 nt
Filed under: Marcia japonica
Lineage: Eukaryota; Metazoa; Mollusca; Bivalvia; Venerida; Veneridae
Description: tRNA-Ser
Source: RNAcentral